AGAGGAGAGACCCGAAGCGGCCGCCGGUCCGCGUGUCAGGUGAACUGAACUUCAGAAGGAGGAAGAAGGCAAAGAGAAGAGAGAUGAGGAUGAAAAGCUCCAGUUUAGAGAGUCAGCGAACAUCAGUGAGAAGAGAAGUUUUGAAGAACAAAGCAAAACAGUUAUUCUGUGGAGGGAGAGACUGAACAUUUCGAGCAUCGAACAUGUUUGUUCUCAUCUGGUCGGCUCUGUUUGUCUCUGUAAAAGGCAGCAUUGCUGACACAGGUGCCUCAGCCUGGGGACAACAACUCUGUGUUGGAAGAUACUGUGUUACUCUGAGUGAGCGAGAACUAACAGCAGAGGCUGGACUCUGUGUUGUGAUCCCGUGUUCUUUCACUAAUGCUGAUGAGUUUACACCCAACCAUACAAUUUGGUACAAAUGUGAAGCAUCUCAAAAAUUUUGCACUGAUGCUGACAUAAUAUUUCACAGCAACAAAAACACAGACACAAAAGCUCAGUCUGGGUUUGAAGGACGAGUGUCAAGUUUGGAGCCUGAUGUGAGUCAGAAAAACUGCAGCAUCAUCAUUAAUGAUCUCAAAGAGUCUGAUUCUGGAUCAUAUCAGCUCAGAGUUCAUGGUGUACUGAAUGGAAAACAAGAUGCAUUCACAUUCAUUCCAAGAGUAAAUGUUUCUGUUAAAGGUCUUAGUCAGAAGCCCACAGUAAUGAUUCCCACACUGACAGAGGGACAGCAGGCCACACUGACCUGCACUGCUCCUGGUCUCUGCUCUGGAUCUGUUCCUGAAAUCACCUGGACAUGGAGAGGAGCAGGAGGGACUGAAUCUUACAUUACAGGAAACAGCACUGAUUUCAAGACUGAGAAUCUGACUGAUGUAACACAGAGACACAGCUCAACUUUCACCUUCAAUCCUUCAGCUGAGCACCACGACACUAGUGUCACCUGCAAUAUCAACUUCACAGGUGGAGAAAGUACAGAGAAGACUUUGACUGUAAAUGUGACCCAUAAGAAAGAAAUUACAAUCAGUGGUGUUACAAUUGUUAAGGAGGGAGAUGUUCUGAAUCUGACCUGUAGUGUUGAAAGUUUCCCUCCAUCUCUGAUUGAGUGGUCUAAACUUAGUUCUGACACAAACCUGCACAGUUAUUCUGGAUCAGCCAGGCUUGUCAUUGAGAAUGUGAAACCAGAACAUUCUGGACAGUACAUCUGUGCAGUUACAUAUAUGAACAAUACCCUGAAGAAGGAUGUCAAUAUCACAGUGAUAUAUAACAGGGCUGCUCAGAUCAUUGGGAAUACAACUGUGAGGAAGGGAGAUGUUCUGAAUCUGACCUGUAGUGUUGAAAGCUUUCCGCCAUCUGUGAUUGUGUGGUCUAAAUGUGGUUCUAACACAAAGCUGCACAAUGACAGUGGGUCAGCUACACUUGUCGUCCAUAAUGUGACAUCAGAACAUUCAGGGCAGUACAUCUGUACAGUAAAACAUCUGGACACAACUCUGACUUCAUAUGUUGAUGUAACUGUGACUUGGCAUACAAAGAUACAGAAUGGCUCAGGAUGUGUGCUUCAGUCUGAGGGUUUGACCUGUGUGUGCAUCAGUGAAGGGUUUCCUUUACCUAACAUCAAAUGGCCUCUGUUGAAUCACCACACUGAGUACUCUGUCAUUACCACUGUAUUAAACCACACAGUCAACAGCACUGUCAGUGUAACUGUAAAAAACCAUGGCAACAGCACUGUUGAAUGUGUCAGCAACAAUGGAAAUGGAGAAGAAAGAGAAAACCUGCUGCUCAAUAACAAGUUGUCCAAAAAAGAUGAUUUGUGCUUUUCAUCUAAACACUUUCCACUUUAACAUUUUCAGAUUUUUAGUACUGUACUUUUAACACAACCUCUGUUUUUGCAUGUACUACUUAUAAUUCAGAAACCACGGGUAUUAACUUUUAACUUUUUCCUUUCCAUUUUAUUUCCCCCGAGUGCAGAGCAACCAUCUAGUUUUAGGCUGGAAUUCCUGAAAGUCAUCAAAGUCAUCAUUGGUCAGAAAUUGCUAUAGGUGCAGCAUUUACUUUAGUAAUUAUUAUCAGGUUUUCUCCAUAGAUAAAUUUUAAUAUAUAUUUGUAAACAUGUUCUGUAAAAAUUACCUUUUCUCCAGAAAAAAAGAGUUCCAGAAAUUCAGAUUAGACUGUGGAGAUGGAUUUUUUUGUUUGUUUCCAUUUCUUAUUGACUUGGGUAAUUAAUAAUAACCACCAUCUUUUUUUUUAAUAGACCUUAUAGUUUUUAAAUAUUGAUCUCUACCAAAUGGUUGAAAUAUAACUUAAUGGUUUACUUAUAUGUUAUGUAAAUACAAGUACAGUAGAUAAUAAAGCUGCAAUAAAUAAAAUAAAAUGCCAAAUUAUACUUUAAUUAACAACAAAAACUAUCCAGAGCAUUUGUUUCUAGUAGUUUGCCACAGAACAUUGCAGAUUUUUAUUCCAGCAAAGGAAAAUAUUGUAUCAAACAACAAAAAAGUGCAUUUCAGAAUUUUUUUAAUCUUGACUGCAUCUGCACUUUAACUGCAGCAGCAGAAAAGUCUCACAUUCAGGACAAUGGUGAUUGUAUCGCGCGCUGCAAAAUAAUUUGUACUUUCAAAAACAAAAAUCUAAAAAACAAAAAAUAUCCAAAACAAAGGAAAUAUUUGCAUUAAACAUUUCUGAAUCAGCAUUUCUCAACAACAUUCUACAGACUACGUAUCAGUCAACGUGAUGAAAUAUGUGCAGUAUGUUCACAACUGUAUAGAUGUAGAGCAGAGGUUGGCAACCAGCAGCUCACUGGACACAUGUGACUGUUUAGCCUCUCAGCUGUGGCUCCUGGAAACGCUAAAAUUUAAAAAAAGCUAAGCUUACAUCUGUCACCCACAGCAUUUUAGCCCCCACGUGUGUGUGUGUGUGUGUGUGUGCGUGUCUGUGUGUGUGUGUGUGUACAUAUAAAAGAUACAUAAAAUAUGUGUGUUUGUGUGUGCUCUCUUGUGUCUUACAGCAGUUCAUGUGAAACAUUGUGGUUCUUACAGUACAGUUCUUCCCUGGAUUGUUGCUGGUGUAUCUCUCACUUUGAAUGCCUUCUGCAUAAUCUACAUAUGGUUCCUUUGGAAUUCAAGAAAAAAGGUGAACCUACAUCAGGAGGAGAGAACCUACAUGUCACUGCAAAAAGUGGAUGCAUCAUCAGAUUAUGAUGUUAUUGCACAACAUAUAAACUGAAAAGUCAGGUUUCAGAUAGCUGUGUGGUUGUAAUGGCAGCCUGUUGUCAAUACUGUGGUGAUGUAAUUAAUUUAGUUUCAUUGUCUUUAUUAAAGCAGAUACUCUGGUAUUAGAAAUUUUAAUUUAAAUUGUCUAUUAAAUUAAAGCUUAAUAUUUGUUAAUUAUUUUUUACAUUGCAUUGUAAAUAAAUGAGAUUGUUUGUUUAUGUAAUAAUUUACACUUUCUAUUUCAAUUUAUACAUAGAGUUUAAUAAAAUUGUUCACAUGUCUACAGCUGCAAAUUGAGCUUCUUUUGUUCUUUUCUUUUAUCUUUGUAAGUUUAGCAAGUUGUAGCUAACAAGCCUACAAUAAUUCUACCUUUUUAUCGAUCAGAUCAAUUCACUAGCUCUCUGGGGUCAGUCAGUUACAGCACAGUUUUUCUACUGUUCAUCUUUGCCAUUGUUGUAAAAUGUGGCAUGGUGGAAUAAUUGACAGAAUCUCCCAUGAAACACUGGGUUAGGAAUA
Molecule: RNA transcript, 3716 nt
Organism: Oreochromis aureus
Lineage: Eukaryota; Metazoa; Chordata; Actinopteri; Cichliformes; Cichlidae
Gene name: sialic acid-binding Ig-like lectin 10
Exons: 9
Source: RefSeq, a predicted model, not a curated record